GCCUGUGUUGCCGCUGUGGCCGUCGCCGCUCCCCAGUACAGCUAUGGGGUUCCUUCUGCUGAGUCUAGCGAGGAAGUCGCUGCUCCUCAGACCAGCUAUGGUGCUCCUCGUGCUGCAUCCAGUGAGGAGGUCGAGUUCGUGCCAAUUCUCAAGGACGACCGCGUCCACGAGGAAGACGGAACUUACAACUUCGACUUCGAAGCUGCCAACGGCAUCCGUUUCUCACAAGCUGGAUCCCCCGACGGUGAUGACGACGCCGUAAUCAAGGCUGGAGAAUACUCUUACACCGCUCCUGACGGUACUGAAGUCCAUGUCAAGUACGUGGCCGACGAGAACGGCUUCCAGCCCCAGUCCGACGUCCUCCCCGUGGCCCCCGCUUUCCCCCACCCGAUCCCUCAGUUCGUCCUCGACCAGAUCGCCUUCGCCGCCGAGGAGGACGCCGCCGCCGCCCGCGCCGCUGAGGAAGAUUCCGACGAAGUUGUCGCCCCAUCAACUCUCUACGGCCGCCCUAACUAACUUUAUACACGAACCAUGUAUUUAUUCUAUUUAUAUAUCAAAUAGAAUUCUUAAAAUCA
This 575-nucleotide long non-coding RNA is filed under the name Penaeus chinensis. Its description in RNAcentral is "uncharacterized LOC125025422". Lineage: Eukaryota; Metazoa; Arthropoda; Malacostraca; Decapoda; Penaeidae. The record is from RNAcentral.